RNAcentral lists this ribosomal RNA (440 nucleotides) under uncultured bacterium. RNAcentral's name for it is "partial 16S ribosomal RNA". It matches the Rfam family "Bacterial small subunit ribosomal RNA", at positions 338 to 795 of the family's 1533-position model. The record is from RNAcentral.
CCUACGGGAGGCAGCAGUGGGGAAUAUUGCACAAUGGGGGAAACCCUGAUGCAGCGACGCCGCGUGAGUGAAGAAGUAAUUCGUUAUGUAAAGCUCUAUCAGCAGGGAAGAACAUGACGGUACCUGAGUAAGCAGCCCCGGCUAACUACGUGCCAGCAGCCGCGGUAAUACGUAGGGGGCAAGCGUUAUCCGGAUUUACUGGGUGGAAAGGGAGCGUAGACGGCAGUGCAAGUCUGGAGUGAAAGGCGGGGGCUAAACCCCCGGUCUGCUCUGGAAACUGUACGGCUGGAGUGCAGGAGAGGUAAGUGGAAUUCCUAGUGUAGCGGUGAAAUGCGUAGAGAUUAGGAGGAACACCAGUGGCGAAGGCGGCUUACUGGACUGUAACUGACGUUGAGGCUCGAAAGCGUGGGGAGCAAACAGGAUUAGAUACCCGAGUAGUC